RNAcentral lists this ribosomal RNA (510 nucleotides) under uncultured bacterium. RNAcentral's name for it is "partial 16S ribosomal RNA". It matches the Rfam family "Bacterial small subunit ribosomal RNA", at positions 28 to 507 of the family's 1533-position model. The record is from RNAcentral.
GGCGAACGCUGGCGGCGUGCUUAACACAUGCAAGUCGAACGAAGAGCGACGGAAGCUUGCUUCUAUCAAUCUUAGUGGCGAACGGGUGAGUAACGCGUAAUCAACCUGCCCUUCAGAGGGGGACAACAGUUGGAAACGACUGCUAAUACCGCAUACGAUCUAACCUCGGCAUCGAGGAUAGAUGAAAGGUGGCCUCUACAUGUAAGCUAUCACUGAAGGAGGGGAUUGCGUCUGAUUAGCUAGUUGGAGGGGUAACGGCCCACCAAGGCGAUGAUCAGUAGCCGGUCUGAGAGGAUGAACGGCCACAUUGGGACUGAGACACGGCCCAGACUCCUACGGGAGGCAGCAGUGGGGAAUCUUCCGCAAUGGACGAAAGUCUGACGGAGCAACGCCGCGUGAGUGAUGACGGCCUUCGGGUUGUAAAGCUCUGUUAAUCGGGACGAAAGGCCUUCUUGCGAAUAGUGAGAAGGAUUGACGGUACCGGAAUAGAAAGCCACGGCUAACUACGUG